Molecule: ribosomal RNA, 498 nt
Filed under: uncultured bacterium
Lineage: Bacteria
Description: partial 16S ribosomal RNA
Rfam family: Bacterial small subunit ribosomal RNA
Source: RNAcentral
GACGAACGCUGGCGGCAUGCCUAACACAUGCAAGUCGAACGGAGAUUAUUUCGGUAAUCUUAGUGGCGAACGGGUGAGUAACGCGUGGGCAACCUGCCCUCUAGAUGGGGACAACAUCCCGAAAGGGGUGCUAAUACCGAAUGUGACAGCAAUCUCGCAUGAGGAUGCUGUGAAAGAUGGCCUCUAUUUAUAAGCUAUCGCUAGAGGAUGGGCCUGCGUCUGAUUGGCUAGUUGGUGGGGUAACGGCCUACCAAGGCGAUGAUCAGUAGCCGGUCUGAGAGGAUGAACGGCCACAUUGGGACUGAGACACGGCCCAGACUCCUACGGGAGGCAGCAGUGGGGAAUCUUCCGCAAUGGGCGAAAGCCUGACGGAGCAAUGCCGCGUGAGUGAUGAAGGAAUUCGUUCCGUAAAGCUCUUUUGUUUAUGACGAAUGUGCAGAUUGUGAACAAUGAUCUGUAAUGACGGUAGUAAACGAAUAAGCCACGGCUAACUACGUG